Molecule: ribosomal RNA, 468 nt
Filed under: uncultured bacterium
Lineage: Bacteria
Description: partial 16S ribosomal RNA
Rfam family: Bacterial small subunit ribosomal RNA
Source: RNAcentral
GACGAACGCUGGCGGCGUGCCUAACACAUGCAAGUCGAACGGAAAGGCCCUGCUUUUGUGGGGUGCUCGCGUGGCGAACGGGUGAGUUACAAGUGAGUAUCCUGCCCUUUACUGUGGGAUAACUUCAGGAAACCGGUGCUACUACCGGAUAGGAGCUCCUGCUGGAUGGUGGGGGUUGGAACGUUUGGGCGGUGGGGGGUGGACGCGCGGUUUAUCAGUUUGUUGGUGGGGGAGUGGCUUACCAAGUUGUCGACUGAUAGCCGGCCUGAGAGGGUGGCCCGCGACAUUGGGACUGAGGUACGGAGCAGACUCGUACGGGAGGCAGUGGGGGGGAGUAGUGCACAAUGGGCGGAAGCCUGAUGCGGCGGCGCUGGGAGCGGGAUGACGGCCUUGGUGGUAUGAAGCGCUUUCGGCUAUGACGAUGCGUGAGUGACGGUAAUGGGUAAAGAAGCACCGGCUAACUACGUG